CUACGGGUUGCUGCAGUGAGGAAUAUUGCACAAUGGGGGAAACCCUGAUGCAGCAACGCCGCGUGGAGGAUGACGCAUUUCGGUGUGUAAACUCCUUUUAUCAGAGAAGAAAAUGACGGUAUCUGAUGAAUAAGCUCCGGCUAACUCCGUGCCAGCAGCCGCGGUAAUACGGAGGGAGCAAGCGUUAUUCGGAAUCACUGGGCGUAAAGGACGCGUAGGCGGGUUUUUAAGUCAGGUGUGAAAUCCUAUGGCUCAACCAUAGAACUGCACUUGAAACUGGGGACCUAGAGUAUGGAAGGGGCAGGUGGAAUUAGUGGUGUAGGGGUAAAUCCGUAGAUAUCACUAGGAAUACCGAAAGCGAAGGCGACCUGCUGGGACAUUACUGACGCUGAGGCGUGAAAGCGUGGGGAGCAAACAGGAUUAGAUACCCCAGUAGUC
This 438-nucleotide ribosomal RNA is filed under the name uncultured bacterium. RNAcentral's name for it is "partial 16S ribosomal RNA". It matches the Rfam family "Bacterial small subunit ribosomal RNA", at positions 339 to 795 of the family's 1533-position model. The record is from RNAcentral.